Molecule: ribosomal RNA, 585 nt
Filed under: uncultured bacterium
Lineage: Bacteria
Description: partial 16S ribosomal RNA
Rfam family: Bacterial small subunit ribosomal RNA
Source: RNAcentral
UGGGGAAUUUUGGACAAUGGGCGAAAGCCUGAUCCAGCAAUGCCGCGUGUGUGAAGAAGGCCUUCGGGUUGUAAAGCACUUUUGUCCGGAAAGAAAUCCUUGGCUCUAAUACAGUCGGGGGAUGACGGUACCGGAAGAAUAAGCACCGGCUAACUACGUGCCAGCAGCCGCGGUAAUACGUAGGGUGCAAGCGUUAAUCGGAAUUACUGGGCGUAAAGCGUGCGCAGGCGGUUUGCUAAGACCGAUGUGAAAUCCCCGGGCUCAACCUGGGAACUGCAUUGGUGACUGGCAGGCUAGAGUAUGGCAGAGGGGGGUAGAAUUCCACGUGUAGCAGUGAAAUGCGUAGAGAUGUGGAGGAAUACCGAUGGCGAAGGCAGCCCCCUGGGCCAAUACUGACGCUCAUGCACGAAAGCGUGGGGAGCAAACAGGAUUAGAUACCCUGGUAGUCCACGCCCUAAACGAUGUCAACUAGUUGUUGGGGAUUCAUUCCUUAGUAACGUAGCUAACGCGUGAAGUUGACCGCCUGGGGAGUACGGUCGCAAGAUUAAAACUUCAAAUGAAUUGACGGGGUCAUAGCUGUUUCCU